AUAUUUUAAAGUAAAUAAUCUUCCUUGAUACCUUCAAUAUCAUGCUCUAAAUAAGCUAUUAAAA
This 64-nucleotide transfer RNA is filed under the name Platycis minutus. RNAcentral describes it as "tRNA-Phe". Lineage: Eukaryota; Metazoa; Arthropoda; Insecta; Coleoptera; Lycidae. The record is from RNAcentral.